Long non-coding RNA from Hordeum vulgare subsp. vulgare (domesticated barley), 896 nucleotides. RefSeq lists it as uncharacterized. NCBI's taxonomy places the organism in Eukaryota, Viridiplantae, Streptophyta, Magnoliopsida, Poales, Poaceae. The record is from RefSeq and is a predicted model, not a curated record. The transcript has 2 exons.
CUUCCUCUAACCCCCAGAGCAUCUCAUAGCUCCUCCUGAGCACUCUGUCUGCCCCAAUGGCCGGCAUGUCCGCCGCCAUGGCCGCAAGCGCGCGACGCGUCCCCCUGUCUCCUUUGCUCCUUGGACGAUCCCAGAGGAGGCCCCGGCCUCGUGGGGUCUCCCUCCUCCCCCAGAUCCUUCCGGGCACGGCUGCAGGCCCCCUGCCCGUCGUCGCCAUCGGGUGUGCCCGACCCGACCGAAGCCCCUUUGCCCCCAGCGCUUUCCAGCGAAGUUGCGGCUCCCAGGUGGAGAAGCUCUCCAUUCCGAGCGCGCUGCUCGUCAGAGGCUCGUCGGAGGCAGCUUGGGCCGCCAGAAUGGCGCUCGCGAAGUGCCAUGUCCGCUCCCUUGUCUCUCCCUGUUGAGCGGGAGGUAGGAGACGUUCCUGGCACACGGGCCCCGCCUAUCGGUGAAUGGCUGGCCAGACCCAUGCGAGGUAAGUGGAGUCGGACCCCCUCCCCUUGCCGCCUCCCCCGCGCACAAGGCACAUUUCCUGGAACGCGCCUCCGGUGUCGCCCCGGCCUCUCCCGCAGUUGAGCCAAUGCGCCGGCCCAUUUCUGUCUCGCGCCACUGCGCGGUGCUGCUCAAUGAGAUUGGCCUAUCUAGGUGACGUAGUAGACGAAGUACUCGGAGUUGGACCACAAGGCCUCGAAGACCCCGGCGACCUAUUUGAGCAUGGCAACCAGCCCUUUGACCAUGUUUGAGAAAAUAUUUUCAUGCAUGCCACGUUGAUUACUUCUUUCCAUUGCAUGUGAUCAUGAUUGAAUCGGUAAAACCCUCCGCUUGGUGUUUACGAUAGUUCCUUGAUAACACUUGCAUUGUGCAUGGUCUUACCACCUAUAAAGAUCAUACUGAUGAAA